This 73-nucleotide transfer RNA is filed under the name Thermoplasmatales archaeon. RNAcentral describes it as "tRNA-Asn". It matches the Rfam family "tRNA". From Rfam's summary of the family: Transfer RNA (tRNA) molecules are approximately 80 nucleotides in length. Their secondary structure includes four short double-helical elements and three loops (D, anti-codon, and T loops). Lineage: Archaea; Methanobacteriati; Thermoplasmatota; Thermoplasmata; Thermoplasmatales. RNAcentral also lists the same sequence under 1 other name. The record is from RNAcentral.
GCCGUCUUAGCUCAGUUGGUGGAGCACCCGGCUGUUAACCGGGCGGUCGCCGGUUCGAGUCCGGCAGACGGCG